CCUACGGGUGGCAGCAGUGAGGAAUAUUGGUCAAUGGGCGGAAGCCUGAACCAGCCAAGUAGCGUGCAGGAUGACGGCCCUACGGGUUGUAAACUGCUUUUAUAAAGGAAUAACGUGCCUUACGUGUAGGGCUUUGCAUGUACCGUAUGAAUAAGGACCGGCUAAUUCCGUGCCAGCAGCCGCGGUAAUACGGAGGAUCCGGGCGUUAUCCGGAUUUAUUGGGUUUAAAGGGAGCGUAGGUGGCUUGUUAAGUGAGUUGUGAAAGUUUGCGGCUCAACCCUGGCAUUGCAGUUGAUACUGGCGGUCUUGAGGACACGGUAGGCAGGCGGAAUUCGUGGUGUAGCGGUGAAAUGCUUAGAUAUGACGAAGAACCCCGAUUGCGAAGGCAGCUUACUAAAGUGGCACUGACGCUGAUGCUCGAAAGUGCGGGUAUCGAACAGGAUUAGAUACCCGAGUAGUC
This 460-nucleotide ribosomal RNA is filed under the name uncultured bacterium. Its description in RNAcentral is "partial 16S ribosomal RNA". It matches the Rfam family "Bacterial small subunit ribosomal RNA", at positions 338 to 795 of the family's 1533-position model. The record is from RNAcentral.